This 497-nucleotide ribosomal RNA is filed under the name uncultured bacterium. RNAcentral describes it as "partial 16S ribosomal RNA". It matches the Rfam family "Bacterial small subunit ribosomal RNA", at positions 28 to 507 of the family's 1533-position model. The record is from RNAcentral.
GAUGAACGCUGGCGGCGUGCCUAAUACAUGCAAGUCGAGCGAACAGACGAGGAGCUUGCUCCUCUGACGUUAGCGGCGGACGGGUGAGUAACACGUGGAUAACCUACCUAUAAGACUGGGAUAACUUCGGGAAACCGGAGCUAAUACCGGAUAAUAUAUUGAACCGCAUGGUUCAAUAGUGAAAGACGGUUUUGCUGUGACUUAUAGAUGGAUCCGCGCCGCAUUAGCUAGUUGGUAAGGUAACGGCUUACCAAGGCAACGAUGCGUAGCCGACCUGAGAGGGUGAUCGGCCACACUGGAACUGAGACACGGUCCAGACUCCGACGGGAGGCAGCAGUAGGGAAUCUUCCGCAAUGGGCGAAAGCCUAACGGAGCAACGCCGCGUGAGUGAUGAAGGUCUUCGGAUCGUAAAGCUCUGUUAUUAGGAAAGAACAAAUGUGUAAGUAACUAUGCACGUCUUGACGGUACCUAAUCAGAAAGCCACGGCUAACUACGUG